UACGAAGGGGGCUAGCGUUGCUCGGAAUCACUGGCGUAAAGGCGCACGUAGGCGGCUUCUUAAGUCAGGGGUGAAAUCCUGGAGCUCAACUCCAGAACUGCCUUUGAUACUGAGAGCUUGAGUCCGGAGAGGUGAGUGGAACUGCGAGUGUAGAGGUGAAAUUCGUAGAUAUUCGCAAGAACACCAGUGGCGAAGGCGGCUCACUGGCCCGGUACUGACGCUGAGGUGCGAAAGCGUGGGGAGCAACAGG
Molecule: ribosomal RNA, 250 nt
Filed under: uncultured bacterium
Lineage: Bacteria
Description: partial 16S ribosomal RNA
Rfam family: Bacterial small subunit ribosomal RNA
Source: RNAcentral